AAAUUCAAGAUUUAUUCCCUUUUCGUGUCCAUAGAGACAGCGAUACGUUUUCCUACGAGUCGUGUGUAUCGGUACUAUACACGUAUAGAUCGAACGAUCAAAAAUUUAGUUCCCGUUGAAUCGCAUCCAAGCGAUAUAACGCGGGAUUUCGAAGCUACUUUCGCCGAGCUUGCCCAUCGAACCGUCUCUUACGAUCCAUUCGCGUAUAUCGCCUGUCAUAAUAUGGGAAUCCGUGUGAAAAUUCUGUACUGUGGCGUCACUGUCCAAACUAAAUACGAUCGUACGAAUUGGACGAACUGAAAAAUUCAAUCGAUUUCAUUUAUAAAUGGAUUUCAUACGUAUCGUAACGAUGGUUCUGGUUGUUCGAGAAAACGAAGAUCUCAACUAUUGAUCAGGCGGAUUUGCUUUACGUUGCCGUGGUCGAAUCGAAUUGAUCGUUCGAAAUAUGCGAUCUCAGUGGUAUAAUUGUAAACACCAUAAUUUCAUUUGGCGCCGAGUGUUGUUUUCUUUAGUCGAGAAAUCUACGGGAACGUUGAGAAUAUUACGAGAGGUGGGAGUCGACCAGGAAAUCGAUAACCACCGUUAAAACUGCACAAACUGAACGGCAUCGGCUAAACAGAGGUUCGCUUUUUCGAAUUAAAUUCAACGAUUCGCGUGCGAUAUACUGUAGUUACAAGCUAAAUUCCCUGCAUAGUUUUUCUUUUUAUCGAAAACAAGCGAGACAAAAAAAGUACUGAGUAUUUUAUUGAAGUAACUCGUGGAAGAGUUUCGUAGCGUUGAAAUAACCGUGGUCGGAAUUAAAGGGGUGAAAUUGCUAUUCAUUAACCUGAGGUUUUGGUGGUUGAGGUUGUUGAGCAGGAUGUGACACCGGUUCCUCCUUCUUUCUUUUUCCGGCUCUCUCGUAUUCUUGAAGCUUCUUCAUAAUACGCGGCGAGUCUGUGAGUCGAAAAAUCCCGGAGAGUGGCCCGCGUGCCGCGUCUUCUGUGUCCAGGACACGUUCACGAAGUCCCGAGGGCUCCUGUGGCGUCGACGUAAACCUCACGGUCGACCUCGAGUCGCCAUCCGAAUCGUCCCCGUCCCGGUGUCGCAUAAAUCGACUUCUGUAUCUCGAUUUGUUCCUCGGCACUUCGUAUUCUGGUGCGUAUCGAUUUCUCGCCAGUCGCUCUUCCUCUUGCUGCCGGUAUUGCGAAGCCAGACGGUGGUCGCUUUUGCUUCUCAUGAGACCCGGUGAUCCUCCGGGAGGUGCUAGACUGCUCGAGCUACCCAGCAAUCCUCCGCUUCCGGUUUCUGGCUUGAUAUUCAGUUCGCCGUAACCGGCUACAUGGAGGACCAGUUGGUUAGGAUCGUGCGCCAUUACGAAACGCACUCGCCGACUGUAAUCCCCGGCUUCGUACUCGAAGUUCCUGCAACCAGGAUCGUAAAUUAGUCCGGGCUGUAACGAAAUUUUUGCCUUUCUUGCCGAGUUACAUUAUUACGAGUCAGCUACAGGUUCCCAGGAUUUAGUAAAAAGUUUCGUUUAACGAGGCAACUUUCAGGAAUUCUUUUCGACUUGGCGUGAGCGCCGAUCCGCUGCCAAGCAAAUUUUUGUUAGACGGCUAGUUAAUUCUCGCGCAAGUUGAAUAUUUGUUCCUGGGAAAGACAAAUAGGAUUUUUAUAUCUCAGGGACAUAGUACGUUUUAGGGGAGUGGCUUUUGUAUUUUCAAAUCUUUUAUCCGUUUCGAGGAAGUUGAUAAUAUGGUUAAAUUUGGAGAACUGGUAAAACAUAAAUUUAGCUUAACUCCUUCGCGUUUUUGAAAUAUUUUCUACGUCCCUUGACACGUUUUAAUUAAAACGAUAAAUCUGACUCCUUUCGAAAUAGGUUUAUCG
RNAcentral lists this unclassified non-coding RNA (1866 nucleotides) under Bombus terrestris (buff-tailed bumblebee). RNAcentral's name for it is "misc RNA ENSBTSG00005025471.1". The record is from RNAcentral. Lineage: Eukaryota; Metazoa; Arthropoda; Insecta; Hymenoptera; Apidae.